This 1800-nucleotide long non-coding RNA is filed under the name Ananas comosus (pineapple). RNAcentral's name for it is "long non-coding RNA (ACOM_LNC025591)". The record is from RNAcentral. Lineage: Eukaryota; Viridiplantae; Streptophyta; Magnoliopsida; Poales; Bromeliaceae.
UUCGUAAAUAAGUAGUCAUGCUAUAUAGAAAAUUCAGUACAAAUUGUACAAUAGAAUAAAAAUUUUGAAAAAAUUUUAUAAGAUCCUAUAAAAUAUGAUACAAUAAAGAGAACUAGAAAGAGAGAGAGUUGUGGGAGUACGAGUUAGUGUCCAAUAAAGAGAACUAGAAAGAGAGAGAGUUGUGGGAGUACGAGUUAGUGUCCUGAGAAGAGAUUUAGGAAAAGAAAGUAUGGAGAGAAAAAAAUAGGUCUUAGCGGGAUAAUAAUUGUCUAGAAGAGAAGGGUAGGUUACACAGCGGUUGGUAGGAAGAGGAGAGGGAGGAGAAAAAAAGAAUAAGAUGUUGGAUAUAUUGUUAUUGGAUAUAUUGUUAUGUAUAAUCCAAAUAAUAUGUUCAUGUUGGAUAUAUUGUUAUAAUAUAAUCCAAAUAAUAUGUUCACAUACAAGUCCAAUAGUUAAAAGGUUAUUAAGGCCCAUUAACUGGAGCCCAAUAGCUUAUUUAUUAACUCUAGAGUUUUCCUACGCUGGAGGUAACACUGUUGAGCGUUCCAAAAUUGACGUCUCUUGGUGUAAUACUUUAAGCACCUAAAAACCCAUCUAUUCUCUAAAACGAUAAUCUCCAACAAUCUUAAAGUAUUACGAUCGUAUGUCGGAUUUGAGCGAGUAAGGUGUUGAUUUGAAGAUCUCGUCAAGACGAACUCACCGGUAUAAUUUAUUUUCGAUUUUGAUGGUCAGAUUGGCCGGGAUCUGAGUUUGAAAGUCAGCAGCCGAAAUCUUUGAUUUAAAAACCCCAGAAAUUAUAGCCAAUUUCAGAGGGUGAAACCACUUGGGUUCUAUUCUACUCGUCGAUAUGAACGUUUUGAGUGGUUGCUCGUCUCGAACGGAGGUCGGACGACGGAGUUACGGCAACCGAAAAUUUUUAGCAGUUUUCGGCGACGAGGGCAGUUCAUCUUAAGGUUUUUGGGCGCUACGGAUCCAUUUUUGGGUCUUUUUUUUUGGCAAAUUCAACCUCCAACAUAAGAUUGGAAAAAUGGGAGAGAGAAGAGGGAUAAGAUCGAGAAGAGGGAGAUGGAGAGGCGCAUAGGAGAGAGAGGAGGAAGAGAGGAGGAAGGAGAGGUUGGGAUAAAAAGAACUGUCAAAUAGUAUGUUUGUAUAGAUGUAUAUACUGUGAGAGAUAAGUAUAUUAGAAUACGAUUAGCAGGAAGAGGAGAGAGAAAGGACAAAAAAUGGAUAGGAUUAGGAGAAAGGGUGAGAGAAGGGAGAUAAGAUUGAGAAGAGGAAGAUGGAGAGGCGCAUAGAAAAGAGAGGAGGAAGGAGAGGCUGCCAUAUGGAUUAAAGGAACUGUUAAAUAAUAUAUUUGUAUAGAGGAUGUAUAGAUGUAUAGAUAUAUAGAUGUAUUUGAAUAGAUUGUGGUAUCCUCUAAUUAUUGCUCAAGGGAUGCCACUGUUGGAGUGCCUUGAGAGUAAUCGACUACACGACAACUCAUGUCUGACUUCGAUUGUGAUGAGUUGUGAUAUCUCUUCGUAAUACUUUUCAAAUAAAAUCUAGCGGUUAUACUAUAAAACCAAAAUAUUUUAAUGUUAAAGUGAAAUGUACCGAUCGUCUCUAGUGCAAGUGGCAAAGGGCUUGAUGGUUGGUAUUUGAGAUCGCAAGUUCGAAUCCUAGUUGAUUCACAUUUUCAGCUAAAUUUAUUUCUAAAAGAAUUAAACAAACGGGUAACAUGCUACCUAGCGAAACGAUGCAAUGAUACUUUAUUUAAAGAGGUUUCUCCAAUGAAGAAAAGAAUACAAUCCGAUGAGAUUU